RNAcentral lists this ribosomal RNA (437 nucleotides) under uncultured Verrucomicrobiota bacterium. RNAcentral describes it as "bacterial SSU rRNA". It matches the Rfam family "Bacterial small subunit ribosomal RNA", at positions 958 to 1385 of the family's 1533-position model. Lineage: Bacteria; Pseudomonadati; Verrucomicrobiota. The record is from RNAcentral.
AACGCGAAGAACCUUACCUGGCCUUGACAUGCAAGUAGUAGAAGGAUGAAAGUCUGACGAGGUAGCAAUACCAGCUUGCACAGGUGCUGCAUGGCUGUCGUCAGCUCGUGUCGUGAGAUGUUGGGUUAAGUCCCGCAACGAGCGCAACCCUUGUGUCCUGUUGCCACUCGAACGUGAGUUCGAAGCACUCUGGACAGACUGCCUCGCUUAAACGAGGAGGAAGGUGGGGAUGACGUCAAGUCAGUAUGGCCCUUACGGCCAGGGCUGCACACGUACUACAAUGCCCGGCACAAAGGGAAGCAAGACCGCAAGGUGGAGCAAAUCCCCAAAAACCGGGCCCAGUUCAGAUUGUUGUCUGCAACUCGACAGCAUGAAGCUGGAAUCGCUAGUAAUGGCGCAUCAGCUACGGCGCCGUGAAUACGUUCCCGGGCCUUGUA